Molecule: ribosomal RNA, 477 nt
Filed under: uncultured anaerobic ammonium-oxidizing bacterium
Lineage: Bacteria
Description: bacterial SSU rRNA
Rfam family: Bacterial small subunit ribosomal RNA
Source: RNAcentral
UUCGCAAUGCCCGAAAGGGUGACGAUGCGACGCCGCGUGAGCGAAGAAGGCCCUAGGGUUGUAAAGCUCUGUCAGGGGUUAAGAAAUGUAGAUAGGUUAAUACCCUGUUUAUUUGACAAAAGCCCCAAAGGAAGCCACGGCUAACUCUGUGCCAGCAGCCGCGGCAAUACAGAGGUGGCAAGCGUUGUUCGGUAUUAUUGGGCGUAAAGAGCACGUAGGUGGUUUUGUAAGUCAGAUGUGAAAGCCUUCUGUUCAAAGGAAGAACGGCAUCUGAAACUGCAGAUCUUGAGUGUAGGAGGGGAGAGUGGAACUUCUGGUGGAGCGGUGAAAUGCGUAGAUAUCAGAAGGAACGUCGGCGGCGAAAGCGACUCUCUGGCCUAUUACUGACACUGAGUGUGCGAAAGUUAGGGGAGCAAACGGGAUUAGAUACCCCGGUAGUCCUAACUGUAAACGAUGGGCACUAAGUAGAGGGGUUUU